GACGAACGCUGGCGGCGUGCUUAACACAUGCAAGUCGAACGGAAAGGCCCUGCUUUUGUGGGGUGCUCGAGUGGCGAACGGGUGAGUAACACGUGAGUAACCUGCCCUUGACUUUGGGAUAACUUCAGGAAACUGGGGCUAAUACCGGAUAAGAGCUCCUGCUGCAUGGUGGGGGUUGGAAAGUUUCGGAGGCUGGGGAUGGACUCGCGGCUUAUCAGCUUGUUGGUGGGGUAGUGGCUUAGCAAGGCCUUGACGGGUAGCCGGCCUGAGAGGGUGACCGGCCACAUUGGGACUGAGGUGCGGCCCAGACUCCUACGGGAGGCAGCAGUGGGGAAUAGUGCGCGAUGGGCGGAAGCCGUAUGCAGCGAUGCCGCGUGCGGGAUGACGGCCUUCGGGUUGUAAACCGCUUUCGCCUGUGACGAAGCGUGAGUGACGGUAAUGGGUAAAGAAGCACCGGCUAACUACGUG
RNAcentral lists this ribosomal RNA (468 nucleotides) under uncultured bacterium. RNAcentral describes it as "partial 16S ribosomal RNA". It matches the Rfam family "Bacterial small subunit ribosomal RNA", at positions 28 to 507 of the family's 1533-position model. The record is from RNAcentral.